Molecule: small RNA, 183 nt
Filed under: Chelonoidis abingdonii (Abingdon island giant tortoise)
Lineage: Eukaryota; Metazoa; Chordata; Testudines; Testudinidae
Description: TUC338 (ENSCABG00000021194.1)
Source: RNAcentral
UUAGGAGGCCUAGAGGAAGAAAUCCAAUGUAUAUUCGCAGGCCAGAGACUUCAUGGACAGUGAUGGUGCAAGAUUCCCCUACACUACCUUGCUAACGUGCCACCCUAAAUGCUGCCCGGAAGGGACCACUUCUAGAUGUGAGAGGGCAGUUCAGUCCCCAUGUCCAUUCAGUCCCUUGCUUCU